UGGAGCUUCAACGUAUGAUUGCUAUGAAAUAUGUUCAUACGUUGGGAGGAGAAGGUAUCUUAGUAAUUCAAGAGGUUAACCAAAAAAUAGAACCGAUAUCUUAUCUGCAGAAGGCCUGGGUGAAUGUGUACGGGGUUCCUUUUGAGAUCCGCUCAUUUCUUCCUCUGUGGGCAGUUGGUUCUAUUUUGGGGGCAACUCAGAAAGUGGACAUGCGCUACACUCGGAAAAUGGGGGUGGUUCGAAUUUUGGUUGCAGUGACGGAUGUGAAUCAUAUCCCGGAAUCCGCAGAAAUAGUGGUUGGUGAAGGAUUAUACGAGAUAUUCUUCAAAGUUGACAAGGUCCUUAAAGAUGGUAGAUGGAUUGACAAUAAUAAUACGGGUACUCGAGACAGAGAUGAUAAGGAACAAGGUGAAAAUGAUGAUUUUACUGAGAAUCAUGAGAAUGAUAUUUUUCAGCC
Molecule: unclassified non-coding RNA, 457 nt
Filed under: Zea mays
Lineage: Eukaryota; Viridiplantae; Streptophyta; Magnoliopsida; Poales; Poaceae
Description: misc RNA Zm00001eb065240
Source: RNAcentral